This 517-nucleotide ribosomal RNA is filed under the name uncultured bacterium. RNAcentral describes it as "bacterial SSU rRNA". It matches the Rfam family "Bacterial small subunit ribosomal RNA", at positions 992 to 1509 of the family's 1533-position model. The record is from RNAcentral.
AGAAUUUAGCAGAGAUGCUUUAGUGCCUUCGGGAACUCUGAGACAGGUGCUGCAUGGCUGUCGUCAGCUCGUGUUGUGAAAUGUUGGGUUAAGUCCCGCAACGAGCGCAACCCUUAUCCUUUGUGCCAGCACGUAAUGGUGGGAACUCAAAGGAGACUGCCGGUGAUAAACCGGAGGAAGGUGGGGAUGACGUCAAGUCAUCAUGGCCCUUACGAGUAGGGCUACACACGUGCUACAAUGGCGCAUACAAAGAGAAGCGACCUCGCGAGAGCAAGCGGACCUCAUAAAGUGCGUCGUAGUCCGGAUUGGAGUCUGCAACUCGACUCCAUGAAGUCGGAAUCGCUAGUAAUCGUAAAUCAGAAUGUUACGGUGAAUACGUUCCCGGGCCUUGUACACACCGCCCGUCACACCAUGGGAGUGGGUUGCAAAAGAAGUAGAUAGCUUAACCUUCGGGAGGGCGUUUACCACUUUGUGAUUCAUGACUGGGGUGAAGUCGUAACAAGGUAAGCGUAGUGCU